UGGGGAAUAUUGGACAAUGGGCGAAAGCCUGAUCCAGCCAUGCCGCGUGUGUGAAGAAGGUCUUCGGAUUGUAAAGCACUUUAAGUUGGGAGGAAGGGCAUUAACCUAAUACAUUAGUGUUUUGACGUUACCGACAGAAUAAGCACCGGCUAACUCUGUGCCAGCAGCCGCGGUAAUACAGAGGGUGCAAGCGUUAAUCGGAAUUACUGGGCGUAAAGCGCGCGUAGGUGGUUUGUUAAGUUGGAUGUGAAAUCCCCGGGCUCAACCUGGGAACUGCAUUCAAAACUGACUGACUAGAGUAUGGUAGAGGGUGGUGGAAUUUCCUGUGUAGCGGUGAAAUGCGUAGAUAUAGGAAGGAACACCAGUGGCGAAGGCGACCACCUGGACUAAUACUGACACUGAGGUGCGAAAGCGUGGGGAGCAAACA
Molecule: ribosomal RNA, 427 nt
Filed under: uncultured bacterium
Lineage: Bacteria
Description: partial 16S ribosomal RNA
Rfam family: Bacterial small subunit ribosomal RNA
Source: RNAcentral